RNAcentral lists this ribosomal RNA (274 nucleotides) under uncultured bacterium. RNAcentral's name for it is "partial 16S ribosomal RNA". It matches the Rfam family "Bacterial small subunit ribosomal RNA", at positions 523 to 796 of the family's 1533-position model. The record is from RNAcentral.
AUACAGAGGGUGCGAGCGUUAAUCGGAAUUACUGGGCGUAAAGCGCGCGUAGGCGGCUUGGUCAGUCGGAUGUGAAAGCCCCGGGCUCAACCUGGGAAUGGCAUUCGAUACUGCCAGGCUAGAGUAUGGGAGAGGGAAGUGGAAUUUCCGGUGUAGCGGUGAAAUGCGUAGAUAUCGGAAGGAACACCAGUGGCGAAGGCGACUUCCUGGCCCAAUACUGACGCUGAGGUGCGAAAGCGUGGGGAGCGAACAGGAUUAGAGACCCCAGUAGUCC